CCAAUAGCGUAUAUUAAAGUUGUUGCAGUUAAAAAGCUCGUAGUUGAAUUUCGGGAUUAAUGUUUCGGUCAUGCCGUUGGUAUGUACUGAUAUUAUUGAUUUCUCACCUUCUAAAGAACCGUAAUGCCAUUAAUUUGGUGUCACGGGGAAUUAGGACUGUUACCUUGAAAAAAUUAGAGUGUUUAAAGCAGGCUCACGCUUGAAUACAUUAGCAUGGAAUAAUGAAAUAGGACAUCCGAUUCUAUUUUGUUGGUUUCUAGGAUCGAUGUAAUGAUUAAUAGGGAUAGUUGGGGGCAUUAGUAUUCAAUUGUCAGAGGUGAAAUUCUUGGAUUUAUUGAAGACUAACUACUGCGAAAGCAUUUGCCAAGGAUGUUUUCAUUAAUCAAGAACGAAAGUUAGGGGAUCGAAGACGAUCAGAUACCGUCGUAGUCUUAACCAUAAACUAUGCCGACUAGGGAUCGGAUGAUGUUAAUUUUUUAAUGACUCAUUCGGCGCCUUACG
This 501-nucleotide ribosomal RNA is filed under the name uncultured Glomeromycotina. Its description in RNAcentral is "SSU rRNA". It matches the Rfam family "Eukaryotic small subunit ribosomal RNA", at positions 591 to 1092 of the family's 1831-position model. Lineage: Eukaryota; Fungi; Glomeromycota. The record is from RNAcentral.